CCUACGGGAGGCAGCAGUGAGGAAUAUUGGUCAAUGGACGAGAGUCUGAACCAGCCAAGUAGCGUGAAGGAUGACUGCCCUAUGGGUUGUAAACUUCUUUUAUAUGGGAAUAAAAUGUGCCACGUGUGGGAUUUUGUAUGUAACAUAUGAAUAAGGAUCGGCUAACUCCGUGCCAGCAGCCGCGGUAAUACGGAGGAUCCGAGCGUUAUCCGGAUUUAGUGGGUUUACAGGGAGCGUAGGUGGAUUGUUAAGUCAGUUGUGAAAGUUUGCGGCUCAACCGUAAAAUUGCAGUUGAAACUGGCAGUCUUGAGUACAGUAGUGGUGGGCGGAAUUCGUUGUGUCGCGGUGAAAUGCUUAGAUAUCACGAAGAACUCCGAUUGCGAAGGCAGCUCACUGGACUGCAACUGACACUGAGGCUCGAAAGUGUGGGUAUCAAACAGGAUUAGAUACCCGUGUAGUC
RNAcentral lists this ribosomal RNA (460 nucleotides) under uncultured bacterium. RNAcentral describes it as "partial 16S ribosomal RNA". It matches the Rfam family "Bacterial small subunit ribosomal RNA", at positions 338 to 795 of the family's 1533-position model. The record is from RNAcentral.